GCCUCGGCCCUGAGAGGAGGCGGGGACGGGACGCUGCCGCCGCCUUGUCACUGUGGAGGAUCCUGGAGGAGCCCGGCGGGGAGACUGGGGCCUGUUAGCGAAGCCAGGCCGCAUGAAGGCAAAGGCUUGAGCUGGAAGAAGGAGCAGACUGAGUUCUGACGACACCACCGGAGCCCUGGAUCCAGCCGCGCCUGAAGCUGGGCCUGCGCUGCCGAGACCGCAGGUCAGGAGCGCACCAACCGCCCCGCUUUUUCCUGAGCAAAUCUGAGGUAGCGGUGUGUGGGAGGCUGACAGUACAGUCACCGGGAACACACGUAAGAAGCCCGUAGAGCACAAGAGGACGGCACGUGGGUGACACGCAGCGGAACAGCUGUAAGACAAACAGCACGCACGGGGUAGCAGGAGAAGGGGAAGGACUCUAAGCUCUGGAUGCAAAUCUGCUAAAUUUCCCACGUUGCUGAUGCUUGGCACUGUCCAGGGUCCAGGUCUGCAGCUUCGACCCAGAGAAUCAUGCUCUGCCCCUGGCAGAGACGGCGACCCAUGGGCACAGCACAGGCUCGGACCCGGGUUCCCUGGGAGGUGAGCCGCCCUUCUGCGUCAUGGAGAUGACAGUCACAGCUCAGCCGUGACAGGACUGGGACCCCUCACCCUCUGCACCCAGACUCCAGAUGACCCCAGUGCUGCCCACCCGGGGACAGGUUUGGGAGCUGGACCAUUAUGACAGUUCUGUUCAUGGUCAUGCUCAGCCCAGCUCCCAAGAUGUCACUGGUCCCCAGUGCUCCUGGCAGA
Molecule: long non-coding RNA, 789 nt
Organism: Camelus dromedarius (Arabian camel)
Lineage: Eukaryota; Metazoa; Chordata; Mammalia; Artiodactyla; Camelidae
Exons: 3
Source: RefSeq, a predicted model, not a curated record